Molecule: non-coding RNA, 357 nt
Organism: Kogia breviceps (pygmy sperm whale)
Lineage: Eukaryota; Metazoa; Chordata; Mammalia; Artiodactyla; Physeteridae
Source: RefSeq, a predicted model, not a curated record
UCCGAGACCCUCUGACGAGGAUGGCCCCCAACUCAGGCGCCGCGCGGGGGUUCAGCUUGGGCGAGGAGCUCCCCUCCCCGGGCGGCCUCCGUUGCUUCUUCUUGAAGGUGGCCAGGGGCGAGGCAGUCAGGAAGUAAGACGUCUCUCCUGCUAUAAGGCUGAUCUCAGCCUAAGACCCUCUGGUGGCGGCAGUGAGGAUAACGGUGAGGCAUCAGCUCACAGCCCACGGUGGGGACAAAGGAGAACAGGUGUGCAGAGGUGCUUCAAACAUGCUGAGCACGUGCUUGUCGUCAUGGCGACGGAGAUGAUUCCUGCAUCACGGAAAAGUGAUUUGGAGCCCCGGCUGACUUAGCACGA